Non-coding RNA from Podarcis muralis (Common wall lizard), 351 nucleotides. The record is from RefSeq and is a predicted model, not a curated record. Lineage: Eukaryota; Metazoa; Chordata; Lepidosauria; Squamata; Lacertidae.
CUUUCCUCUGCUGCAAAGGCUGCCUUGCUCUCUUCCACGGGGAUCUGACGCUGCUUACUCCUUUGGGAAGGGCAAUCCUCUCCUGGGAUCUGAGGAGGCCAGCCAAGCAGAUCAAGCCAAGCUUUAUGAGGAGCUGGGUAUGUUGAGUUGGAGAAGAGGAGACAGAGAGGAGAUAGGAGAGCCAUGUCAGAUUAGAUAAUUUAUUACGGUCAGAGACCAGCUUAUAAAACACACUUGGGGGUACAGUCACAGAAGUAAAACAGGCAAUUUAUGUACAACAACAAAUUUAAAAACAAUGCACACCAACAAACUAUCCCAGGGAGUUGACUCAGAGUCACCCAUGAAACCGAG